This 265-nucleotide signal recognition particle RNA is filed under the name Paenibacillus athensensis. RNAcentral describes it as "Bacterial large signal recognition particle RNA". It matches the Rfam family "Bacterial large signal recognition particle RNA". From Rfam's summary of the family: The signal recognition particle (SRP) is a universally conserved ribonucleoprotein involved in the co-translational targeting of proteins to membranes. Archaeal SRP consists of a 7S RNA and homologues of the eukaryotic SRP19 and SRP54 proteins. In most bacteria, the SRP consists of a 4.5S RNA and the Ffh protein (a homologue of the eukaryotic SRP54 protein). The record is from Rfam by way of RNAcentral. Lineage: Bacteria; Bacillati; Bacillota; Bacilli; Caryophanales; Paenibacillaceae.
CCGUGCUAGACGGGGAGGUAGCGGUGCCCUGUAACCCGCAAUCCGCUGUAGCGGGGUUGAAUUCCUGUUUAGAGGUACUGUGAUGUAAGGUCUGGCUUCUACACGUGGUGUUGAGAGUCGGGUCCUUCGCAAUGAAUGCUCGUGAACCCGGUCAGGUCCGGAAGGAAGCAGCCGUAAGCGAGAUGUUUCAUGUGCCGAGGGGUUGCCUGAUUUGAGCUAACGAUAGGGGUUCGCUUGUAUCAUUUUAUCAAUAGCAGGUGCACGG